GAUGAACGCUAGCGGCAGGCUUAACACAUGCAAGUCGAGGGGUAUAGUAGCAAUACUAGAGACCGGCGCACGGGUGCGUAACGCGUAUGCAAUCUACCUUUUACAGAGGGAUAGCCCAGAGAAAUUUGAAUUAAUACCUCAUAGUAUAAUUGAAUGGCAUCAUUUAAUUAUUAAAGUCACAACGGUAAAGAUGAGCAUGCGUCCCAUUAGCUUGUUGGAAGGUAACGGCUUACCAAGGCUACGAUGGGUAGGGGUCC
RNAcentral lists this ribosomal RNA (257 nucleotides) under uncultured bacterium. Its description in RNAcentral is "partial 16S ribosomal RNA". It matches the Rfam family "Bacterial small subunit ribosomal RNA", at positions 28 to 292 of the family's 1533-position model. The record is from RNAcentral.